UACGGAGGGCGCAAGCGUUGUUCGGAAUUACUGGGCGUAAAGGGCGGGUAGGCGGUCCGUUAAGUCGUUUGUGAAAAUCCGGGGCUCAACCCCGCGAACUGCAAGCGAUACUGGCGGACUGGAGACCGAUAGAGGCUAGCGGAAUUCCUGGUGUAGCGGUGGAAUGCGUAGAUAUCAGGAAGAACACCUGUGGCGAAGGCGGCUAGCUGGGCCGGGUCUGACGCUGAACCGCGAAAGCGUGGGGAGCAAA
This 250-nucleotide ribosomal RNA is filed under the name uncultured bacterium. Its description in RNAcentral is "partial 16S ribosomal RNA". It matches the Rfam family "Bacterial small subunit ribosomal RNA", at positions 524 to 772 of the family's 1533-position model. The record is from RNAcentral.